GACGAACGCUGGCGGCGUGCUUAACACAUGCAAGUCGAACGGAAAGGCCCUGCUUUUGUGGGGUGCUCGAGUGGCGAACGGGUGAGUAACACGUGAGUAACCUGCCCUUGACUUUGGGAUAACUUCAGGAAACUGGGGCUAAUACCGCAUAGGAGCUCCUGCUGCAUGGUGGGGGUUGGAAAGUUUCGGCGGUUGGGGAUGGACUCGCGGCUUAUCAGCUUGUUGGUGGGGUAGUGGCUUACCAAGGCUUUGACGGGUAGCCGGCCUGAGAGGGUGACCGGCCACAUUGGGACUGAGAUACGGCCCAGACUCCUACGGGAGGCAGCAGUGGGGAAUAUUGCACAAUGGGCGGAAGCCUGAUGCAGCAACGCCGCGUGCGGGAUGACGGCUUUCGGGUUGUAAACCGCUUUCGCCUGUGACGAAGCGUGAGUGACGGUAAUGGGUAAAGAAGCACCGGCUAACUACGUG
This 468-nucleotide ribosomal RNA is filed under the name uncultured bacterium. Its description in RNAcentral is "partial 16S ribosomal RNA". It matches the Rfam family "Bacterial small subunit ribosomal RNA", at positions 28 to 507 of the family's 1533-position model. The record is from RNAcentral.